Molecule: long non-coding RNA, 1299 nt
Organism: Pan troglodytes (chimpanzee)
Lineage: Eukaryota; Metazoa; Chordata; Mammalia; Primates; Hominidae
Exons: 4
Source: RefSeq, a predicted model, not a curated record
GACGCUCCGGAACAGUUACUGGGACAGGCUGUGAGCGACUCACCAGGACAGUUUUAUUUCUGUGCUGAGCUUGCUGCUUCCUGCUGGGAAAAUGUUAGUGGCGGAGUCACACCCAGUUUACUAAUUGUUUAACUGCAAAGCUUGACUCUGGAAAUAAAAAAGGAAUGAGAGCAGAAGUGGAGACUUCAUAAAGAAAGUGAAUGGGGAUCCAAAAGGAUCCAGCUCCAGCUCCUGGAAGCUUACCCCACCCCACCAAAGAGAACCUGGAUGGAACCCUCUUUCAUCAGGAAUAAACUGGAGCCCAAGGAAAUGAAGGAAUCAGAUGGGGACCAAGUGACCUGUCCACACAAAAGCCAUCUGAUGAGUGCUUCUACUCCCUGUUCGCAGCCCACCUUCAGCUACACAGAUCUGCACGGCCCCUUGCUUCUGCCAUAUGGGAUCCAGCCUGACAGCAGCGAAUGAGUGCACAGAUUUCAAGUAGAGGAAAUCCCCAGGAAAUGAAACAAAGUACAUUUGCUUUUGAAAAGCCAAGCCAUACGGACAACAAACAAUAUGAUGAAAGGUCACUCAGAACCCCACCCUAGAAGAAAGCCAGAAGUCCUGGUUCGGACUGUGGAGAGAAGCUGGCUGCUCCUCACCUGCUCAUCUCGCUACCUGCGAUGAAGCUUAUUUCUGGAUGAUAUGAAGUAUCUUAUCUUUCCCGUACCAGAAGCUGCAAUCUAUUUCCAUGCCUCUCUCUCUCUGAAUCUGCCUUUUUCUAUUGAGGCUAUCACACCUUCUAUUAUGCCCAUUGUGUUGCUAUACCUACUUCCAGCUUUGCUGCAUUUUUGGGAACUGGAGAGCUCCAAUAAACACAGGAAGAGAGGAGCAAGUGGAGGCUUUGAGACUGACUGGUGCAGGCCUGGAUCUACUGAGGGCAGGUGAAAUGUGCAGGUAGGCAGAGGUCUGGGCUGAUCUUCAGAGUCCAGUUGCACCUUUAUCCUGGAAAUCAGUUGUGGAGUCAGAUAUACUGAUCCCUAUUUCUAGCUUCCACAACAGUAUUAUUUUGCACCAUUUUGGAAGCUUUCAUAAAACUAUUUUUAUGGAAGUUAUUAUUUGGGGGAAGGAGAGGCAUCCGGGAAAAUCUAUCAUCGACCUACUAAAUGGACCGCACCACCACCUUUUCCAAUUACAUAUUUUUCCACUGGAUAAUAUUUUAAGAUUCUACAGACACACGAGUGUCUAAGACAUUGAAAAGCAAACAGCAGCAUCUUUCAACAUAAAUAUAUUAAAGCCCAUAGGCAUGCACUGACUUGGAUA